This 213-nucleotide unclassified non-coding RNA is filed under the name plant metagenome. Its description in RNAcentral is "partial contains 5.8S ribosomal RNA, internal transcribed spacer 2, and large subunit ribosomal RNA". The record is from RNAcentral.
GAGUCUCGGCGGAGAGAGUCUUAUGAAUAGCUGUCUCGCAGGAGCGAUCCGACUGCACGGUUUUGCCGUUGCCGCGUCCGCGAUCUUCGCCCUCUCGCAAGCUGAUGCAGCCCAGCAGCGAACGCCGUUGCGCGGAGGUGCUUCGCUCGGCGGGCGCGUGAUCGAACGCUUCGUCCUGCUCCAAACGAUCCACGUAAAUCAUCCGCUUCUGAC